This 525-nucleotide long non-coding RNA is filed under the name Homo sapiens (human). Its description in RNAcentral is "non-protein coding LINC02056:47". Lineage: Eukaryota; Metazoa; Chordata; Mammalia; Primates; Hominidae. The record is from RNAcentral.
GAGACCUACGGCCAUCCUACUGAUAUGAACCAGAUCAUACCUGCCCUGAUGGGAUGCCAGAGAAAGACUGCUGCAAGGUACGCGCCACUCACAGACCUCUCCAUUUAUCUCACUGAUGCAAAGGACCCUGAGUAGGGAUCCUCUGGAAACAGAACAGAGGGAAGAAGAUACCUUCCCUGAAGCCCAGAUGUUCCAGAAGCCUGCGCCUCAUUCACAAAGUCACCCCAAAAAUGCCCUAGAGUUUGGAGUUUUGAAGAAGCGGGAAGAAGGCCUGAGUAAGGGCCUGGGAACCAAGUUAGAUCCUACUUCAGCAUCAGCACAUGCCAGCGAUGGUGCACACAGGUGGAGAGCGGCCUGCCCGUCUUUUCCAUGGUGCCCACAGACCCAUUUAGGAUGAAAGAUCAGAAAAUUCUCUCCAUGUCACCGCUUCUGAAACAUGUGAAUAUUAAUAUUUGGUGCCUAAAAGGCCAUGGCAAAUUUUCAUUGGUUUUAUCUUAUUCAUGAUUAUAGAGUUGAAAGAAUACA